This 468-nucleotide ribosomal RNA is filed under the name uncultured bacterium. Its description in RNAcentral is "partial 16S ribosomal RNA". It matches the Rfam family "Bacterial small subunit ribosomal RNA", at positions 28 to 507 of the family's 1533-position model. The record is from RNAcentral.
GACGAACGCUGGCGGCGUGCUUAACACAUGCAAGUCGAACGGAAAGGCCCUGCUUUUGUGGGGUGCUCGAGUGGCGAACGGGUGAGUAACACGUGAGUAACCUGCCCUUGACUUUGGGAUAACUUCAGGAAACUGGGGCUAAUACCGGAUAGGAGCUCCUGCUGCAUGGUGGGGGUUGGAAAGUUUCGGCGGUUGGGGAUGGACUCGCGGCUUAUCAGCUUGUUGGUGGGGUAGUGGCUUACCAAGGCUUUGACGGGUAGCCGGCCUGAGAGGGUGACCGGCAAAAGUGGGGAGGGGAUCAGGCCCGGCCUCAGACGGGAGCAGCAGGUGGGAAAUUUUGAACAGUGGGGGGGGGCCUGAUGCAGCAACCCCGGGGGGGGGAGGAGGGCUUUGGGUUGGUAACCCGCUUCCGCCGGGGACGAAGGGGGAGGGAGGAUAGGGGAUAAAGAAACCCGGACAAACUACGUC